AACGAACGCUGGCGGCAUGCCUAACACAUGCAAGUCGAACGAGACCUUCGGGUCUGGUGGCGCACGGGUGCGUAACGCGUGGGAACCUGCCCUUAGGUUCGGAAUAACUCCCCGAAAGGGGUGCUAAUACCGGAUAAUGUCUUCGGACCAAAGAUUUAUCGCCUUUGGAUGGGCCCGCGUUGGAUUAGCUAGUUGGUAGGGUAAAAGCCUACCAAGGCGACGAUCCAUAGCUGGUCUGAGAGGAUGAUCAGCCACACUGGGACUGAGACACGGCCCAGACUCCUACGGGAGGCAGCAGUGGGGAAUAUUGGACAAUGGGCGAAAGCCUGAUCCAGCAAUGCCGCGUGAGUGAUGAAGGCCUUAGGGUUGUAAAGCUCUUUUAACCGGGAUGAUAAUGACAGUACCGGGAGAAUAAGCUCCGGCUAACUCCGUG
RNAcentral lists this ribosomal RNA (433 nucleotides) under uncultured bacterium. RNAcentral's name for it is "partial 16S ribosomal RNA". It matches the Rfam family "Bacterial small subunit ribosomal RNA", at positions 29 to 507 of the family's 1533-position model. The record is from RNAcentral.